GGAGGGGGCAAGCGUUGUUCGGAAUUACUGGGCGUAAAGGGCGUGUAGGUGGCCUUGUAGGGUCAGAUGUGAAAGCCCCGGGGCUUAACCCGGGGAAUUGCGUUUGAAACCACAGGGCUUGAGGCUGGGAGAGGAAAGCGGAAUUCCUGGUGUAGCGGUGAAAUGCGUAGAUAUCAGGAGGAACACCAGUGGCGAAGGCGGCUUUCUGGACCAGUACUGACACUGAUACGCGAAAGCAUGGGGAGCGAACGGGAUUAGAUACCCCGGUAGUCCAUGCUGUAAACGAUGAGCACUAGGUGUGGCGGGUAUCGACCCCUGCCGUGCCGCAGCAAACGCAAUAAGUGCUCCGCCUGGGGAGUACGGUCGCAAAGACUG
RNAcentral lists this ribosomal RNA (375 nucleotides) under uncultured organism. RNAcentral describes it as "partial 16S ribosomal RNA". It matches the Rfam family "Bacterial small subunit ribosomal RNA", at positions 527 to 896 of the family's 1533-position model. The record is from RNAcentral.